UACGUAGGGACCAAGCGUUGUUCGGAUUUACUGGGCGUAAAGGGCGCGUAGGCGGCUUAACAAGUCACUUGUGAAAUCUCCGGGCUUAACUCGGAACGGCCAAGUGAAACUGUCAUGCUAGAGUGCAGAAGGGGCAAUCGGAAUUCUUGGUGUAGCGGUGAAAUGCGUAGAUAUCUGGAGGAACACCGGUGGCGAAGGCGGCAUCCUGGACCGACACUGACGCUGAGGAGCGAAAGCCAGGGGAGCAAACGGG
RNAcentral lists this ribosomal RNA (253 nucleotides) under uncultured bacterium. RNAcentral's name for it is "partial 16S ribosomal RNA". It matches the Rfam family "Bacterial small subunit ribosomal RNA", at positions 524 to 776 of the family's 1533-position model. The record is from RNAcentral.